Molecule: non-coding RNA, 1590 nt
Organism: Myodes glareolus (Bank vole)
Lineage: Eukaryota; Metazoa; Chordata; Mammalia; Rodentia; Cricetidae
Source: RefSeq, a predicted model, not a curated record
UGUGGCCUGUCAUAGAGGUGGACUUUGAGGUUUCAAAAGUCAUUGCCAAGGCCAGUCUUGCUCCCUGUCUUCCUGCAGUUUGCAGAUUACAUGAGCUCUUAGCUACAGCUACAGCACCUUGCCUUCCAGGUACCAAGAUCCCCGCCAUGAUGGCCAUGGACUCGCCCUCUGAAACUAUUUAUUUUAAGCUCAGGGGGUGGUCUGUGUACAUGUGCCCGUGGAGGUCCGAAGAGGGUGUUGGAGGCCCUGGAACUGGAGUGAUGAAGAGAUGUGGCUUGCCACAUGGGUGCUGGGAAUGGAACCUGGCUCCUCUGCAAGAACAACAAAUGCUCUCAACAGCUGAGCCCAUCCCCAGCCCAUCGUUUCCGUUCUGUAUGAUUGUUGUGGUGUGUUUCCCAGAACAUAGGUCACAUAUUUCUCCCAUGCAAUAUGUUGAAUGCAUGCCUGGGAAUGGAAUUGCCAGACCUCGGGAUUUACAAACCUUCAGCAUUAGAGUGAUUAGAGUCAUUAGAGUGAAGGUCAUGCCAUGGUCAGGGUUUCAAGUGAUAAGUAGCCUCCGUCCAUAGAAUUGAGAUCAGUGUAUGGACAGGGUUGAGAGUCAUACAGAAAGCUAGUUAAAGAGAAUCCAUGGGCAAGGUUGGGAACAUGAGUGGCCACCUUGGUGAAAAUUUGCAACUUGGGUUUGGACAAGUUUGUAGGACACUGGAAGGAGGCGAUGGGGGUCACCCAGUGCUAGAAGCAGGCUGUCACACUUCCCAAACUCUGUCCACUGGCAGUAUCAUCUAUCUAAUAAGACAUGAGACCCAUCCUGGGUCCACGGGGUCUUUAGGAGGACAGCUAGGUGAAAGCGAUAAAGGACAAGGCAGGAACUCGCUGCCUUUCGGACCCAUACAGACAGAAAGAAAAUGCAGGCACAGGAAAGAACGCACAACACCACUUUUAAUAGAGACGACUCUGUUCUGUCUUCCCCAGGCACUCCUUGUAUUGUUCCGUGCGGAAAAGGCUAUUGCACACAGCUGGAUGCCUCUUACUCCUGGUUUCUUCAACACCUUAUCCUUUCCUCUCCAGCUGCAGUGGUCUCCAGCCCUGAGAUGGGUCCCAUGUAAGCACCCAGGAGGGGCAAGAGAAUCCCUCCACUUCCGGGGGUAGCUGCUCCCGUGUACGAGGCCAAGGAGAAUUAGAAUGGUUGGAGACAGGACUGUCCUCUGAGCUGAGAAAGGAACCAGAGGACCGCCUCUCCAGGCCCAGCGCUGGGAGCCUCAAAGUGGACACGGUUUGGGAGGUCAUGCCGUGUGUCCGCACAGGUUUUCUGGGCUGUGGAAAGUGGUCUUUUCUCCUGGCCCGGAUGGAGUGUAAGGAGGAGGAUCAAUCCCAGGUCUCGGCUUUGAACACCCCCAAGUUCGCCCAAACCCUCCGCGUCCGAGCGCCGCUGCUGCAGGGGGCGCCAGUGAGCAGCUCGCUCCGCCCUCCCAAUCCUGCGUCCGCAGGACCUGGGUGGGGGCGCAGAGAGGCAAGCCUGAAGACCUGUUGCUCUGCCAGCGUUUUGCCUCAAGCUGCUUCUUAGGCCUUAGUGUCCCCUCCUCACCUGCA